Molecule: non-coding RNA, 29 nt
Filed under: Bombyx mori (domestic silkworm)
Lineage: Eukaryota; Metazoa; Arthropoda; Insecta; Lepidoptera; Bombycidae
Source: RNAcentral
UGGAUUUUGUGAGCCCCAUAUGUGACAAU